UCUACAUGGGAAAAGGUCUUGCCUUUUAAUUUUUCCAUCUUUCCUUUAUUUUCGAUGAUUUUUUCUAGGUUUCCCCCAGUAUUUCCUUUGCCUUUUCUAUUCUUAGAAGCCUCAAUCGAGUGAGAGGCUUGGAGCAACCGAAUAGAGAAGUUCAAUUGAUGGCCAGGGUUUUGACUUGAUGGUUAUUUCCAUUCUUAGGAGUCUCCA
RNAcentral lists this long non-coding RNA (207 nucleotides) under Elaeis guineensis (African oil palm). Its description in RNAcentral is "long non-coding RNA (EGUI_LNC046732)". The record is from RNAcentral. Lineage: Eukaryota; Viridiplantae; Streptophyta; Magnoliopsida; Arecales; Arecaceae.